CCUACGGGGGGCAGCAGUGGGGAAUAUUGCGCAAUGGGCGAAAGCCUGACGCAGCGACGCCGCGUGAGGGAUGAAGGUCUUCGGAUCGUAAACCUCUGUCAGCAGGGAAGAACGGUCACUGUGCUAAUCAGCAGUGAAUUGACGGUACCUGCAAAGGAAGCACCGGCUAACUCCGUGCCAGCAGCCGCGGUAAUACGGGGGGUGCGAGCGUUAAUCGGAAUUACUGGGCGUAAAGCGCUCGUAGGCGGUAUGUCAAGUCAAGGGUGAAAUCCCCGCGCUCAACGUGGGAACUGCCUUUGAAACUGGCAGACUGGAGUGUGUGAGAGGAUAGUGGAAUUCCAGGUGUAGGAGUGAAAUCCGUAGAUAUCUGGAGGAACAUCAGUGGCGAAGGCGACUAUCUGGCACAUAACUGACGCUGAGGAGCGAAAGCGUGGGUAGCAAACAGGAUUAGAUACCCGGGUAGUC
This 465-nucleotide ribosomal RNA is filed under the name uncultured bacterium. RNAcentral's name for it is "partial 16S ribosomal RNA". It matches the Rfam family "Bacterial small subunit ribosomal RNA", at positions 338 to 795 of the family's 1533-position model. The record is from RNAcentral.